UCCGAGUUGACCCCGGCAGUCUCCCAUGAGUCCCCACCAUUACGUGCUGGCAACAUGGAACGAGGGUUGCGCUCGUUGCGGGACUUAACCCAACAUCUCACGACACGAGCUGACGACAACCAUGCACCACCUGUACGCGGCCCAAAAGGACCCGACAUCUCUGCCGGUUUUCCGCGUAUGUCAAGCCUUGGUAAGGUUCUUCGCGUUGCGUCGAAUUAAGCCACAUGCUCCGCCGCUUGUGCGGGCCCCCGUCAAUUCCUUUGAGUUUUAGCCUUGCGGCCGUACUCCCCAGGCGGGGCGCUUAAUGCGUUAGCUGCGGCACGGAACCCGUGGAAUGGAUCCCACACCUAGCGCCCAACGUUUACGGCGUGGACUAC
Molecule: unclassified non-coding RNA, 377 nt
Filed under: uncultured Actinomycetes bacterium
Lineage: Bacteria; Bacillati; Actinomycetota; Actinomycetes
Description: uncultured actinobacterium contains 16S-23S intergenic spacer region
Source: RNAcentral